This 500-nucleotide ribosomal RNA is filed under the name uncultured bacterium. RNAcentral describes it as "partial 16S ribosomal RNA". It matches the Rfam family "Bacterial small subunit ribosomal RNA", at positions 30 to 523 of the family's 1533-position model. The record is from RNAcentral.
AUUGAACGCUGGCGGAAUGCUUUACACAUGCAAGUCGAACGGCAGCACGGACUUCGGUCUGGUGGCGAGUGGCGAACGGGUGAGUAAUGUAUCGGAACGUAUCCAAUAAUGGGGGAUAACUAGUCGAAAGAUUAGCUAAUACCGCAUACGCCCUACGGGGGAAAGCUAGGGACCUUCGGGCCUGGCGUUACUGGAGCGGCCGAUAUCUGAUUAGCUAGUUGGUGAGGUAAAAGCUCACCAAGGCGACGAUCAGUAGCUGGUCUGAGAAGACGACCAGCCACACUGGAACUGAGACACGGUCCAGACUCCUACGGGAGGCAGCAGUGGGGAAUUUUGGACAAUGGGCGAAAGCCUGAUCCAGCCAUUCCGCGUGAGUGAAGAAGGCCUUCGGGUUGUAAAGCUCUUUCGCAAGAGAAGAAAACUUACCCUCUAACAUAGGGUGAGGCUGACGGUAUCUUGAUAAGAAGCACCGGCUAACUACGUGCCAGCCGCCGCAGUAA